UACGUAGGGAGCAAGCGUUGUUCGGAUUUACUGGGCGUAAAGCGGGUGUAGGCGGCUCUAUAAGUCAGGAGUGAAAUCCCCGAGCUUAACUUGGGAAGUGCUUUUGAUACUGCAGAGCUUGAAUGUGGGAGAGGAUAGUAGAAUUCCAGGUGUAGUGGUGAAAUACGUAGAUAUCUGGAGGAAUACCGGUGGCGAAGGCGGCUAUCUGGCCCAACAUUGACGCUCAGACCCGAAAGCGUGGGGAUCAAACAGG
Molecule: ribosomal RNA, 253 nt
Filed under: uncultured bacterium
Lineage: Bacteria
Description: partial 16S ribosomal RNA
Rfam family: Bacterial small subunit ribosomal RNA
Source: RNAcentral